RNAcentral lists this ribosomal RNA (460 nucleotides) under uncultured bacterium. RNAcentral describes it as "partial 16S ribosomal RNA". It matches the Rfam family "Bacterial small subunit ribosomal RNA", at positions 338 to 795 of the family's 1533-position model. The record is from RNAcentral.
CCUACGGGCGGCUGCAGUGAGGAAUAUUGGUCAAUGGACGAGAGUCUGAACCAGCCAAGUAGCGUGAAGGAUGACUGCCCUAUGGGUUGUAAACUUCUUUUAUAUGGGAAUAAAAUGUUCCACGUGUGGGAUUUUGUAUGUACCAUAUGAAUAAGGAUCGGCUAACUCCGUGCCAGCAGCCGCGGUAAUACGGAGGAUCCGAGCGUUAUCCGGAUUUAUUGGGUUUAAAGGGAACGUAGGUGGAUUGUUAAGUCAGUUGUGAAAGUUUGCGGCUCAACCGUAAAAUUGCAGUUGAAACUGGCAGUCUUGAGUACAGUAGAGGUGGGCGGAAUUCGUGGUGGAGCGGUGAAAUGCUUAGAUAUCACGAAGAACUCCGAUUGCGAAGGCAGUUCACUGGACUGCAACUGACACUGAGGCUCGAAAGUGUGGGUAUCAAACAGGAUUAGAUACCCGUGUAGUC